Long non-coding RNA from Bubalus bubalis (water buffalo), 2058 nucleotides. RefSeq lists it as uncharacterized. The transcript is spliced from 2 exons. The record is from RefSeq and is a predicted model, not a curated record. NCBI's taxonomy places the organism in Eukaryota, Metazoa, Chordata, Mammalia, Artiodactyla, Bovidae.
CCUUACCUACAAUGAAAUGCACAGAUCUUAAGUGUUUAUUUUGAUGCGUUUUGAAGAAUUCAGCCCACAACCCUUUCAAGAUAGAAGACAUCUUCUUCAUCCUACAAGGUUCUUUCUUAUCCUCUACGAGUCGAUCCCCCCGCCCUUCACAGAGGCAACCACUGUUCUGAUUUCCGUUGACAUAAAUAUCUGUACCUGUUAAAGCUCCCCAGGAGUUCUGGCUUCUCUCUUUAUGCUGCACACCUUCCCUGGAGUAAACCCUUCCCUGGAGUCAGCCAUCACUUUUGUGCUGAGGGCUCCUGAAUCCUGCUCCCACCUCUCUGGAUUCAGUCUAGUGCCUGCUGGACACCUUCACUUGACCCUGUCAUCCUUCGAAAACUUCCCACCUCAGGCGGGACUCAAACCCACAAUCUCCCAGCUGAAACAGUACACCUCCUGUCAGAACUUAUGAAGCUGAGGUUCUUUAUGUCUCGGCAUAGAAGGAAUUCAGGGAGAGGCAAAGAGAUAGGUAAGAAGUAGAUCUAUUGAGAGAGACAUGACAUGAGUUUGAGUAGGCUCCAGGGCCUGGCGUGCUGCAAAGAGUCGGACACAGCUGAGCGACUGAACUGAACACGCUCCAUAAAAAGUGUGGGCCAUCUCUGAAAGAGCACUGGGAAAUAUAAUGUGGUAAGUUUUUAUGGGCUGAGUAAUUUCAGAGGGUAACAAUUGGGAGGAUUAUUCUAACUACUUAGGGAAGGGGUGAGGAUUUCCAGAAAUUGGGCCACUGCCCCCCUUUUUGGCCUUUUAUGGUCUGCCUCAGAAGUGUCAUGGUACCUGUGGGUGUGUCCUUCAACAUGUUAAUAUACAGGAUGGGCAUGUAAUAAGGUUUAAGGUCUACUGGAAGUUGAAUCUUCUGCCAUCUUGGGCCUGAACGGUUCUAACCAUUUUUCUCUCCUAUCCAGUUCUCAGUAGCUGCAUCAUUCUUGUAAAGGUUGUGCCCUGUCCCCUUCCCUCUUGUCUCAUUUCCUUCCCAGUCUUCUGCACUCUCAGUUAGAGGCCAAGCUGAGGCUUGGAUUCAUCUUGACUCUUUCCCCUUCCUCGCUUCCCAUUUCUAGUCACCAAGUUCACUCAAUUUCAUUUCCUUCAUAAUUCUCCUGUUAGCCCUCAUUCCCUAUUCCCACUGCCAUCUCGCUGGAUGACUGUAGUAGACUCCUCCCUAAUGUCUCUGUCUCCAGAACAGUCAAAGAGAAUCAUCUUUUAAAAUGCUAACAUGAUUCCAUCAUGCUGUGGCUUAAAAUCAAUGCCCCAUUGAAACUGCACAACUCAGACGGGAUUCAAACCCAGCCAAAACUGAUUGGGACUUGAACCCUUGGGUUAGGACUUGAACCCACUGUCUUCUAGUUUAAAUUGCUCACCUGGUGUGAAAAACUGGUGGGAAAUGUUCAAUGGUUGCUUCAGUCUGCAUACUCCUGAACCCGAAGCUCAGAUUAAACACCAGAAAAAGAGAGACAAGCAAACGUGGUGUGCUGCCUGUUAAAAGCCCAAGGCACUAGUCAUGUACAUUUUCAAGACAAAGGAUCCUACAUCAAAAUGCCAUACUGAUAAUUUACAUAAGGUUUACCAAGGUAACAGUCCAAGUAAGCAUUUACAAAGUGAGCAACAAGUCACCAUGACUCCCGACCCUCUACAGAGUUGAGAAAGAAUGCUAUUCUUUUAAGUUUUAAGAAGUAACAACAGCAAAUAAAAGUUACACUGUAGCAUUAGAAGAAAGGGGAAAAAAUUGAUCUGUAUAGUUGAGCAGUCACUCCCAUCUGGUUAAUAUGUAACGCAGGUGCACACUGCACGUUAGGGAGGGAAGGAAGAGGCCCAAACAAACACAGAGAGAGAAUUUUAUGUUCAGUUUUUCUUAUCCUGCCUUUAAAUAUAAAUUUUGUUUUAUCACCAGAGUGAGGGAAUUCAAGGCUAAGAUAGCUACAUAACAAACUUUGCUAUUUCUUUAGUUUGCUACCCCAAGCACAAACCCCUUUGUUAAUUCUUCACAAACAAUAUUUCUUUGUCAAAAAACAACAUAUAAACAGC